Molecule: long non-coding RNA, 638 nt
Filed under: Fukomys damarensis (Damara mole-rat)
Lineage: Eukaryota; Metazoa; Chordata; Mammalia; Rodentia; Bathyergidae
Description: lncRNA (ENSFDAG00000022877.1)
Source: RNAcentral
CUGAGGACCCUACUUUAUUUAUAUAAUGUAAGCACAGGGUGGACACUCGAUAAAUGAACUCACUUGUUCAGGUUGCUUCUCAGAGCCAGCAGUAGAAGUCUCAGGCAACCCAUGCUACUAAGCUUACACUGGGCUGAGGUCCUCCGUUGGUCACGUGCUUCUUUGCUGCGAGGACAUUGGUCUCUUCAUCAGUGGAUUUCUGACUCCUGGCCUGUAUCUUGCAUCAUUUUUCUUUUAAUUUAAAAUUGAGAUAAAAUACAUUGACAACAAGACUCGCAUUUAACAGUGCCUGUAAUUUUUGAAAAAGAUGUCUCAGACUGUAUAUAUGGCAUGAGGAAAAGAAAAUAGGAGAAAACAUGAAAUCAAUAAUGAUCAGAAAAUAAAUGUGAGAUUUAAAAAAAAAUCAAAGGUAUGUAAUUUUAGAAGCACCAAGAAUAAGAUCUAUGAUUUAGAAGAAAAUCAUAAAACAAAAUUGUAAAAUGAAAAAGUACAGAACUAUUAGAGAAGAGAAAAGAUAAAAAAGCAAUAAGACAAGUUUUUGAAAUAUUAACAUUGGACAAAACUUCCUGAAGUUAAGUGAAAAAGUCUACUUGAAAGUUAAGAAAAUUAUAUUGAAAAAGACUGAUCCAAGAAUACAG